AUGCUACCAAGGAGCAUUGUCAAGCUUAUUCAGCUGCAGCAUAUUCUUGCGGGUGCCAUAAAAAUUCAAGAUGGCAACGACGAUGUUGAGACAUCUUUAGAAGGUGCGCCGAUGCUAAUGAGGAACAGGCUAUGUGUUUCGACCUUCUCUUCAGUGGCUUUAUGUGUGGUACGCUGUGCACCUCAUAAUGCGUGUUGUUGCUCGCAUUUACCUGCGUCAGCAAUGCACCAAGGUGUACGUGGUGUUGCACUUCCCAGAGGAAUCUGUAAACUGAAAGCUCUACACACCCUAGGUACUGUGAACAUGGCAUGGCGGAAGGCCGCUCUAGAAGAGAUAAGAAGACUCCUCUGGCUCCGCAAGUUAAGGGUAACUGGCAUCAACAAGAGAAACAGCCAAGAGUUGUGUUCUACAAUUGCUGAUCUCAUGUGCCUGGAAUCGCUGUUAAUAGAGUCGGAGGGCAAGCCUGGCUUAUCUGGCUGCUUGGAUGAACUGAGGUCGCCUCCGGAAGACCUUCAGAGCCUCAAGUUGUAUGGCAACAUGGUCACUUUGACACGAUGGAUGUAUCGGCUCCAAAAUCUCGUGAAGCUAAAGCUACGGAGCUCAAGGAUAUUGGAAUGUGAUACUGCGAUACAAGCCCUUGGGGAUUUGCCAAACCUGGUCAUACUACGCCUGUGGAAGGAGUCUUUCGAUGGAGAUGAGAUUCGUGUCAGUUUUCCUCGGUACAGAUUCCGGAGCCUGGUGGUACUGGAGUUGGAUCGCGCUGGUGACCUCAAAACUGUGGAGUUUGAACCAGAAGCAACACCUAAGCUAGAGCUGCUGCAGUUCGGUGGUUCGCCUAAAGCAGCCAAGGUUGGGUUGUUUUCUGGACUACAACAUCUUCAGAGAUUCAAGGAAUUUAAGCUCGUCGGUGCCUACGAGCCCGCCUUCGUGGCAGACUUGCAGGAGCAGCUUGGUAUGAAUCAAAAUCUCCCAGUUUUGAAGUCCUACUGA
RNAcentral lists this ribosomal RNA (990 nucleotides) under Triticum aestivum (bread wheat). RNAcentral describes it as "partial small subunit ribosomal RNA". Lineage: Eukaryota; Viridiplantae; Streptophyta; Magnoliopsida; Poales; Poaceae. The record is from RNAcentral.